This 280-nucleotide ribosomal RNA is filed under the name uncultured bacterium. RNAcentral's name for it is "partial 16S ribosomal RNA". It matches the Rfam family "Bacterial small subunit ribosomal RNA", at positions 506 to 784 of the family's 1533-position model. The record is from RNAcentral.
UGCCAGCCGCCGCGGUAAUACGGAGGGUGCAAGCGUUAUUCGGAAUCACUGGGCUUAAAGAGCUCGUAGGCGGUUCAGCAAGUCGGCUGUGAAAGUUCGAGGCUCAACCUCGAAAUUGCAGUCGAUACUGCUGUGACUUGAAUUCGGUAGAGGAGAAUGGAAUUCCCGGUGUAGCGGUGAAAUGCGCAGAUAUCGGGAGGAAUACCUAAUGCGAAGGCAAUUUUCUGGUGCACUCCUGACACUGAGGUGCGAAAGCGCGGGGAGCGAACAGGAUUAGAUA